Molecule: long non-coding RNA, 1244 nt
Filed under: Gossypium raimondii (Peruvian cotton)
Lineage: Eukaryota; Viridiplantae; Streptophyta; Magnoliopsida; Malvales; Malvaceae
Description: long non-coding RNA (GRAI_LNC006568)
Source: RNAcentral
UAUUUUUUAUUUUUAAAAGGGCGUCCCGAAUUUAACACGAGUUAUCGAUAUCCACCCAACAUAGCGAUGAAUUCGGUGACUCGAUGCUAAACCGAUUCGUUGCCUUAUUUAUUAAAAUUAUUUAAAAUAAAAUUAAAAUUGAAAUUGAAUUAAUUAAAUUAAAAAUAUAAAUGCCAAAAUAUGAAAAUGCAUAAAAUACUAAUAAUAUUAAAACGAAAAAAUACAAGCAUUAAAUUAAAAAUUAAAAAAAAAACGAAAUAACCGAAAAAUCUCGAAACACGAACUUCACCGAACGGGUAACACAAAUUGGAGUCUUUUUUUUUCUUUUUUUUCUUUUUUCCUUUUUCCUUCUUUCUCUUUUUUCUUUUUUCCUUUCUUUCUCUUUUUCUUUCUUUUUUAUUUUUGGUCUCUUGGGCCGGCCUGCUGGUGCGAAUGGGCCUGGCUUGCUGGGCUGGCUGUUGAGGAACAGCUGGUCUGGGCCUUGGAACAGCUGGGCCUGCUGGCCUGCUAAACUAGGCCUACUUGUUUUUUUUCUUCCUUUUUCUCUUUUUUUUUUAAAACAAAAGGGCUGCUAAUAAAUUUUUUUUUGGGCUUGGGGCUGUUGUGGGCUACUCGGGUCGGGUGUGGGUCGGAUCCGGGUCGGCCGGUCGGGUCGGGUUGACCCUAUUGUUUUAAUUUUUUCUUUUUUUUCUCUUUUUCUUUUCUUUUUCUUUUUUCUUCUUUUUCUUCUUCUUCUUCUUCUUCUUCUUCUUCUUCUUUCUUUAGCUUGCGCCGCCGCUUCCUUCACGCCGUCGUCUGUGCUGCUGUCGUCGUCUCCUCUCGGUGGUGCGCCGAUAGCCCGCCUCUUCUCCUAUUCUCUUUUUCUCAAAGCUUUUCUCUUUUUUUUUUUCCGAAACUUUUCUCCUUUUUUUUUUAAAAAUUCGUGGGCCUUUUAUUUUGGGGGUUUAAACCCCUUUUUAUAGCUGACUUUGCUUCUUUUUUGCAGGUGGUAGGUGGCUAGGGGAGAGGGAGGCCAUGCCCUAGGCCGGCGGCCGGAAAUCACGGGGGUAGGUGUGCAAGUUGCUGCCAGAAGGACUAAAAUGCAAAUGCAGGAAAAGUUUUAGGGCUAAAACGUAAUUUUGAGAAAGUUUAGGGGUCAAAAUGUAAUUUCGAGAAAGUCUAGGGGUCAAAAAUGAAAUUUUAAAAGUUUGGGGGUAAAAUGUAAUUUUUUAUUUUUUUGUAUUUUUUUGAUUUUUUUUAAAAAC